UCCAUAAAUUAUACCUAUCUUAAAUAAAUAAAAUUCCAUAAUACUUAGUUCCAUGUUCAAUCAAAAUAAAAUUCAAACUGCUUUAAGUAAAUAAAAUUCAACAAUGCUUAGUUUAACAACACUUAGUUCUAUAUUCAAUCAAAAUAAAAUUCAAAUAUAAUACAGAUUUAGCAAACCAAGAUAUUCGACAACAAUACUGACUAAUGACAGUGUCACU
This 217-nucleotide long non-coding RNA is filed under the name Elaeis guineensis (African oil palm). RNAcentral describes it as "long non-coding RNA (EGUI_LNC022758)". Lineage: Eukaryota; Viridiplantae; Streptophyta; Magnoliopsida; Arecales; Arecaceae. The record is from RNAcentral.